AAUUGAGGAGUCCUCCUCCGAAGAUCUCGAUUUGGAGACUUGGCAUUUCUGUAUGGUAUCAGCGCCGCAGCCAUGCCCGGAUGCCAGGCGUGAGGACCCCCUUCGCGUGGAGUCCUAUGAAUCCUGGGUCACCAUUGAUAAUCUAUCGGAAGACGGGAGCAUGGACAUACUAUGGAGCCAGCUGUCCCAGGG
Non-coding RNA from Anolis sagrei ordinatus, 192 nucleotides. The record is from RefSeq and is a predicted model, not a curated record. Lineage: Eukaryota; Metazoa; Chordata; Lepidosauria; Squamata; Anolidae.